CUGGCAUAAUACUGCAUAAGCUGCAAGUCCACUGGCAGUGAAGAGCACUCUCACUGAAGCGGCAUCCAACCAACAUUGUUUACGUCAAUAUUCUACAUGCCAACAUUCCAAUAUUGGGUUCCCGCUAUGAUACCACUGACGCAUCAACACACACUUGUGGCCAUGCUACUAAAAGCCAAGUCCAUUCUGCAUUCGGCAGGAGGAGAGGAGAGAGUGUGUCCCCGUUUCAAAAAAGAAGCGAACAAUUGGAAGGGCCACUUUUUAACCUUGACGCAGUCAGUAAGUACCAGACACCCUAUGAAGCUCAUGUGAUCAAACACAGGGGUGCAGCCCCGAUGUCUGCGGUGACUUGGCAGACAUUACAGUUCGGUCUCAAGAUGCAUGAAACACCACCCAUGGGCACCCCAUUAUUGUUUCAAGCUGGCCGUGCCGGUGGUUUCGGGCAUGACUCAUGGCACCAUUUCCAACCGCACAAGCAAUCACAGCAUCUCGCUUCUUCCCUGUGUCUCUCCGUUGUAACUGUGUGUCACCAAAGGCGCCCUCUGUGAGCAGCAACAAACAAGUCAAGCAUUUCAGGACACUGAAGUGUACCCACAGUGAGAGUCAACUGUAACUCGCCCAACCAAAACGCAACACAGGAGCAGUGGGAGAUGGUGAUGACCAGCUUGGCAUUGGAGGAUCAGCAAAACCUGAUCGCCAGAGCCAAAAUUGCCGCCACCACUGCUAGGGCUCUGGACUGAAGGCUCCACCAACUAUGGGGAUCCAUGCCGCAGUGUGCCCCAUCAAAAUAAAGUUUUCCCUCUCUCCCACCCCCUUCUAAUAGAAGCUGCUGUUUGCUGCUGA
Dermacentor albipictus is the source of this 843-nucleotide long non-coding RNA. RefSeq lists it as uncharacterized. The record is from RefSeq and is a predicted model, not a curated record. Lineage: Eukaryota; Metazoa; Arthropoda; Arachnida; Ixodida; Ixodidae.